RNAcentral lists this ribosomal RNA (1027 nucleotides) under Dolomedes angustivirgatus. RNAcentral describes it as "16S ribosomal RNA". The record is from RNAcentral. Lineage: Eukaryota; Metazoa; Arthropoda; Arachnida; Araneae; Dolomedidae.
AAAGAUUUUUAUUAAAAAUAAUUAUUUCAUAAACUAAUUUUACUAUUAAAAUAAAAACUGAAAAGGAAAAUAUUAUCUUUUCAAUAGAAUUAUACAAUUCCUUUAGUAUCAGGAUUUAUCUAAAUAUUUAAAUAUAUUUAAAUCUCGAAAUUAUAUGAUCUAUUAAAUCUUACUUAUUCUUUUUUCAAAAAACUAUUAAAAUUAAUAAUAGAAACUAUACAUUUUUCGUAUAUAAUAAUAUCUAGUAUUAAAAAAAGAAAACAAUUUUCAUACAAAUUUUGUAAUAUAAUUUACUUUAUAUAUUUAUUCCUUUUUUAUUUACUUAAAAUAAAGAUUUACAGUAUCUAUAAAGUAUAAAAACUAACAUUACUAUUAAUACAUAAUUACAAUAUUUUAAUAUUAUUUUUCUCUUUAAAAACAAUGAUAAAAUAAAUAAACCAAAAAAAUAAAUUUUAAUAACUCGUCAAAAAUUUAAUGACUGUUUAACAAAAACAUUUCUAUUAGAAAUAAUUAAUAGUAAAAUCUGCUCAAUGAAAAUUUAAAUAGCCGCAUACGUGCUAAGGUAGCAUAAUCAUUUGUCUUUUAAUUAAAGACUAGAAUAAAAGAUUUAACUUUUAAAUUAAUUUUUUAAACUUAAUUAUUUAAAUUAUCUUAAAUGUAAAAAGACAUUUAUAUAUUAGAAAGACGAUAAGACCCUAUCGAACUUUAACUUCAGUUAAACUGGGGCAGUUAAUUAAUUAUUAUUUUAAUUUUAAUAAAAUACAAAUUAGACCUAAUAUAAUUAAUUUCAUAAUCAAGUUACCGUAGGGAUAACAGCGUAAUAAAAUUUUUAAGAUCUUAUUUAAAAUAAAGAUUGCGACCUCGAUGUUGAUUUAAUAACCUAAUUCACGCAAUAGUGAAUCAAGGAAGUCUGUUCGACUUUUAAAAAAUUACAUGAUUUGAGUUCAGACCGGUGUAAACCAGGUCGGUUUCUAUCUUCUAAAAAUAUUUCUUCUAGUACGAAAGGACCUAAGAAAAUAAAUUAAUU